This 373-nucleotide ribosomal RNA is filed under the name uncultured bacterium. RNAcentral's name for it is "bacterial SSU rRNA". It matches the Rfam family "Bacterial small subunit ribosomal RNA", at positions 521 to 896 of the family's 1533-position model. The record is from RNAcentral.
UAAUACGGAGGGUGCAAGCGUUAUCCGGAUUUACUGGGUUUAAAGGGUGUGUAGGCGGCUAUAUAAGUCAGGGGUGAAAUCCCGAGGCUCAACCUCGGAACUGCCUUUGAUACUAUAUAGCUUGAAUUAUGUUGAGGUUGGCGGAAUAUAACAUGUAGCGGUGAAAUGCAUAGAUAUGUUAUAGAACACCGAUUGCGAAGGCAGCUGGCUAAACAUAUAUUGACGCUGAGGCACGAAAGCGUGGGUAGCGAACAGGAUUAGAUACCCUGGUAGUCCACGCCCUAAACGAUGAUUACUCGUCAUUUGUGAUACACAAUAAGUGACUAAGCGAAAGCGUUAAGUAAUCCACCUGGGAAGUACGUCCGCAAGGAUG